ACCUGGCUGGCUUAGUCAGCAGAGCAUGCAACUCUCAAUCUCAGGGUUGUGAGUUUGAGUCUCACCUUGGGUA
This 73-nucleotide transfer RNA is filed under the name Ailuropoda melanoleuca (giant panda). It matches the Rfam family "tRNA". Rfam says of the family: Transfer RNA (tRNA) molecules are approximately 80 nucleotides in length. Their secondary structure includes four short double-helical elements and three loops (D, anti-codon, and T loops). Lineage: Eukaryota; Metazoa; Chordata; Mammalia; Carnivora; Ursidae. The record is from Rfam by way of RNAcentral.